GGAUUAGAUACCCUGGUAGUCCACGCCGUAAACGAUGGGCACUAGGCAGGCGGGGUUCCGAUGCCCUGCUUGCUGGAGCUAAUGUGUUAAGUGCCCCGCCUGGGGAGUACAGUCGCAAGGCCGAAACUCAAAGGAAUUGACGGGGGCUCACACAAGCGGUGGAGCAUGUGGUUUAAUUCGAAGCAACGCGCAAAACCUUACCUGGGUUUGACAUGCACGGAUUAGCACCUGGAAACAGGUGUGACGCUCGCAAGAGUGGAACGUGCACAGGUGCUGCAUGGCUGUCGUCAGCUCGUGCCG
Molecule: ribosomal RNA, 300 nt
Filed under: uncultured bacterium
Lineage: Bacteria
Description: bacterial SSU rRNA
Rfam family: Bacterial small subunit ribosomal RNA
Source: RNAcentral